UCUCUUUUCGGAGUCUCAGAGGAUUCAAUAAACAAUCCAAACCCGAACCCAGGGUAUUCCAGAUGCUCGCACAUAUCUUUUGGAUUUGAAGGAGAUACGGCUCAAGUAUACAAUUAUCCGAGGGAGCGGCCUUUCACCUUUGAGGAAGAUAGAUGAAGUUCGAGAAAUGUUUGCAAAAUUCAUUACCAGUGAUUGUCUUUGAUAUUUUCUUGUACUGAAUCUUAAAUUAUGGAUGCUAGCUAGUUUUUCAUAUGAUUGUAAUGUAAUCGAAUUUUAUAUUUACAAUUAUUUACUAUUUAAUUUAAUUAUCUAUGUAAUUGGAUACUUUUUAUAUGACGUAUGGAGGUUAAUCA
Long non-coding RNA from Spinacia oleracea (spinach), 353 nucleotides. RefSeq lists it as uncharacterized. The record is from RefSeq and is a predicted model, not a curated record. Lineage: Eukaryota; Viridiplantae; Streptophyta; Magnoliopsida; Caryophyllales; Amaranthaceae. The transcript has 2 exons.